RNAcentral lists this transfer RNA (73 nucleotides) under Plasmopara halstedii. It matches the Rfam family "tRNA". Rfam says of the family: Transfer RNA (tRNA) molecules are approximately 80 nucleotides in length. Their secondary structure includes four short double-helical elements and three loops (D, anti-codon, and T loops). Further hydrogen bonds mediate the characteristic L-shaped molecular structure. tRNAs have two regions of fundamental functional importance: the anti-codon, which is responsible for specific mRNA codon recognition, and the 3' end, to which the tRNAs corresponding amino acid is attached (by aminoacyl-tRNA synthetases). tRNAs cope with the degeneracy of the genetic code in two manners: having more than one tRNA (with a specific anti-codon) for a particular amino acid; and 'wobble' base-pairing, i.e. permitting non-standard base-pairing at the 3rd anti-codon position. The record is from Rfam by way of RNAcentral. Lineage: Eukaryota; Oomycota; Peronosporomycetes; Peronosporales; Peronosporaceae.
GCCCGUCUAGCUCAUUCGGUGGAGCGCAAGACUCUUAAUAUUGUGGUCGUGGUUUCGAGCCCUACGGUUGGCG